GGGGGCGACCGGAAUUGACAGCUUGCUGAGGUCGCGUGUAAGCAUGCCGGGAGUGGGCGACAGUUCCCGUCUAAACAAAUCGUCGAACAAUAACUGGCGAGUAUAACUACGCCAUGGCUGCUUAAUCCCGAGCGGAUAGCAUAGCCAUUGUCUCCCCGGCCUACGUGCUGCUGGCUGGAUCAGGAGGCAUCGACACGCAGCGCUGGCCCGGCUAAUGGUCUUGACACCGGGUAAGAUCCUAAGACCUAAGGUUUCUGGUCGGCCUGACGCGAGCCAGCCUUAAUCCCGACAAUCCAAUCGCUUCUAAGCAUGUAGAAAGCACGACGGGUUCCUUGACUGGACGAGGGUUCAACUCCCUCCGCUUCCACUC
Molecule: non-coding RNA, 370 nt
Organism: Arsenicibacter rosenii
Lineage: Bacteria; Pseudomonadati; Bacteroidota; Cytophagia; Cytophagales; Spirosomataceae
Rfam family: transfer-messenger RNA
About the family: Bacterial tmRNA, also known as 10Sa RNA or SsrA, is named for its dual tRNA and mRNA-like properties.
Source: Rfam